Leptinotarsa decemlineata (Colorado potato beetle) is the source of this 1150-nucleotide long non-coding RNA. RefSeq lists it as uncharacterized. Lineage: Eukaryota; Metazoa; Arthropoda; Insecta; Coleoptera; Chrysomelidae. The record is from RefSeq and is a predicted model, not a curated record.
UGUUGCAAGAUCAUGGACCCUUUCGCCUAAAAUGUUUUCGUUGAAUUAACUGAGUCGUUGAAUAUUGAAAGUUUUUGCAAAUUGUGAAUACUCAUUCCUCUGAACUCGUAACUACUAAGAUGUAAGUAAACUGCAACAUACUCCUAAUGGAAAUACGACACAUUUGAGAUGAAUCACUUAUUCGACAAAUUGUAUGACCUGGUAUAACCUAGAGCUCCAGUUUUCACAACAUUUGAAUGUUGUAAAUAACAGGAAAGAGUGGUCAGCUAUAGAUAUACCUUAUGAAGUGACCAUUAGUGGUGGAAUAUUCGAGGAAAAUUCCAGUAAAAAAUCAUAAAUAUGGUUGACUUACAGCAAAUGAUGGACAUGGGAGCAUUUGGCGUUAUAGAAAACAUAUUCACUCAUCUUACGAAAUCAAAUGGACGAUAUCGGACUGAAAUUGUCAUUUUGUCCGAAACAAUAAUAUCGUGUUUUGAAACAUGCAGAGAAUUCAGAUGUUACUCAAAGAAAUUCAUAACACGGGAUAAUUUAGACUGGGAAUAUAUUUCCCGAAAAACAAGUUUACCUGAAGAUUUCAUUUCGGAUUAUGAAGAUUAUCUCGACUGGGACGAGAUUUCCUCAGGACUUGACGCCUCGGAAGAUCUCAUUUGGAAAUUUAGGUAUAAAUUUAAUUGGAAGUUGAUUCUGGAGUCGCAAAUCAUUUCGGAUGAACUAUUGAAAAAGUUAAUACAUGGAGAGUUUCUCAACACGACAAAUGAAUUAUUUUGGGAACACAUCAGCAGGUAUUUAACUUUAUCUGAAGACUUCAUUCAUAAAUAUGCUGAUGAACUGAACUGGAAAAUUAUCUGCGAGUACCAGUUGUUGUCUGAAAGUUUAAUGGAAAAAUUUUCUGAUCGACUUGACUGGUACAAUGUGUCGACAUUUCAGAAUUUAUCAGAAUUAUUCAUUUCUAAAUAUUUCGAUAAGAUUGAUUAUCAUGGCUUAUAUUUAAACUUAAAUAUGUCAGAAACUCUCGUCAAUGAACUGAUUUUCAAAUUUCACAAAAAUAUUUCAGUACAGUGAAUGUGCCAAUUUCUAAAUUUAAUUUACAUAAUUUCUUCAUUUACUGUAUUUUUAUUGAUUAUUGAAAAAUAUAUAUUUUCAGUUAUUA